GAUGAACGCUGGCGGCGUGCCUAAUACAUGCAAGUCGAGCGAACAGACGAGGAGCUUGCUCCUCUGACGUUAGCGGCGGACGGGUGAGUAACACGUGGAUAACCUACCUAUAAGACUGGGAUAACUUCGGGAAACCGUAGCUAAUACCGGAUAAUAUAUUGAACCGCAUGGUUCAAUAGUGAAAGACGGUUUUGCUGUCACUUAUAGAUGGAUCCGCGCCGCAUUAGCUAGUUGGUAAGGUAACGGCUUACCAAGGCAACGAUGCGUAGCCGACCUGAGAGGGUGAUCGGCCACCUGGGAACUGAGACUCGGCACCGACUCCUACGGGAGGCCGCAGUAGGGAAUCUUACGCAAUGGGCGAAAGCCUGACGGAGCGCAGCCGCGUGAGUGAUGAAGGUCUUCGGAUCGUAAAACUCUGUUAUUCGGGAAGAACAAAUGUGUAAGUAACUAUGCACGUCUUGACGGUACCGAAUCAGAAAGCCACGGCUAACUACGUG
RNAcentral lists this ribosomal RNA (497 nucleotides) under uncultured bacterium. RNAcentral's name for it is "partial 16S ribosomal RNA". It matches the Rfam family "Bacterial small subunit ribosomal RNA", at positions 28 to 507 of the family's 1533-position model. The record is from RNAcentral.